This 1355-nucleotide ribosomal RNA is filed under the name uncultured bacterium. RNAcentral describes it as "bacterial SSU rRNA". It matches the Rfam family "Bacterial small subunit ribosomal RNA", at positions 28 to 1381 of the family's 1533-position model. The record is from RNAcentral.
AUUGAACGCUGGCGGCAGGCUUAACACAUGCCAUUCGAACGAUGAAACUCUAGCUUGCUAGAGAAGAUUAGUGGCGGACGGGUGAGUAACAUUUAGGAAUCUGCCUAGUAGUGGGGGAUAGCUCGGGGAAACUCGAAUUAAUACCGCAUACGACCUACGGGUGAAAGGGGGCGCAAGCUCUUGCUAUUAGAUGAGCCUAAAUCAGAUUAGCUAGUUGGUGGGGUAAAGGCCCACCAAGGCGACGAUCUGUAACUGGUCUGAGAGGAUGAUCAGUCACACCGGAACUGAGACACGGUCCGGACUCCUACGGGAGGCAGCAGUGGGGAAUAUUGGACAAUGGGGGCAACCCUGAUCCAGCCAUGCCGCGUGUGUGAAGAAGGCCUUUUGGUUGUAAAGCACUUUAAGCAGGGAGGAGAGGCUAAUGGUUAAUACCCAUUAGAUUAGACGUUACCUGCAGAAUAAGCACCGGCUAACUCUGUGCCAGCAGCCGCGGUAAUACAGAGGGUGCGAGCGUUAAUCGGAAUUACUGGGCGUAAAGCGAGUGUAGGUGGCUCAUUAAGUCACAUGUGAAAUCCCCGGGCUUAACCUGGGAACUGCAUGUGAUACUGGUGGUGCUAGAAUAUGUGAGAGGGAAGUAGAAUUCCAGGUGUAGCGGUGAAAUGCGUAGAGAUCUGGAGGAAUACCGAUGGCGAAGGCAGCUUCCUGGCAUAAUAUUGACACUGAGAUUCGAAAGCGUGGGUAGCAAACAGGAUUAGAUACCCUGGUAGUCCACGCCGUAAACGAUGUCUACUAGCCGUUGGGGUCCUUGAGACUUUAGUGGCGCAGUUAACGCGAUAAGUAGACCGCCUGGGGAGUACGGCCGCAAGGUUAAAACUCAAAUGAAUUGACGGGGGCCCGCACAAGCGGUGGAGCAUGUGGUUUAAUUCGAUGCAACGCGAAGAACCUUACCUGGUCUUGACAUAGUGAGAAUCCUGCAGAGAUGCGGGAGUGCCUUCGGGAAUUCACAUACAGGUGCUGCAUGGCUGUCGUCAGCUCGUGUCGUGAGAUGUUGGGUUAAGUCCCGCAACGAGCGCAACCCUUUUCCUUAUUUGCCAGCGGGUUAAGCCGGGAACUUUAAGGAUACUGCCAGUGACAAACUGGAGGAAGGCGGGGACGACGUCAAGUCAUCAUGGCCCUUACGACCAGGGCUACACACGUGCUACAAUGGUAGGUACAGAGGGUUGCUACACAGCGGUGUGAUGCUAAUCUCAAAAAGCCUAUCGUAGUCCGGAUUGGAGUCUGCAACUCGACUCCAUGAAGCCGGAAUCGCUAGUAAUCGCAGAUCAGAAUGCUGCGGUGAAUACGUUCCCGGGCCU